UUUUGUAAUAAUUUGAAAUUG
RNAcentral lists this non-coding RNA (21 nucleotides) under Caenorhabditis elegans. Lineage: Eukaryota; Metazoa; Nematoda; Chromadorea; Rhabditida; Rhabditidae. The record is from RNAcentral.